UAGGUUCAGUUGGACAGUUAGGUUCAGUUGGGCAGUUAGGUUCAGAUGGGCAGUUAGGUUCAGUUGGACAGUUAGGUUCAGUUGGGCAGUUAGGUUCAGUUGGGCAGUUAGGUUCAGUUGGGCAGUUAGGUUCAGUUGGGCAGUUAGGUUCAGUUGGGCAGUUAGGUUCAGUUGGGCAGUUAGGUUCAGUUGGGCAGUUAGGUUCAGUUGGACAGUUAGGUUCAGUUGGGCAGUUAGGUUCAGUUGGGCAGUUAGGUUCAGUUGGGCAGUUAGGUUCAGUUGGGGAGUUAGGUUCAGUUGGGCAGUUAGGUUCAGUUGGGCAGUUAGGUUCAGUUGGGGAGUUAGGUUCAGUUGGGCAGUUAGGUUCAGUUGGGGAGUUAGGUUCCUUCAAGAACCCCCACCAACUAAGGAGGUUCCUCGAUGAACCCCAUCUCCUGGGGUUAGGGUUAAGGUUAGAAGAACCUUUUAGGGGGCAUUUUCAGUCUCAAGAACCCUAAGGUUCUUCAAAGAACUUUGAGGAUCUCAGAAGAACCCUUGUUGAACCCCUACUUUUUUUUUUAGAGUGGACAUUAGUUUAUACUGGAUUAAGGGUACAUUUUCAUUAACUGUAAUUUCGUUAGUUAUUUUUAAGUCUUGGUUCCAAUAGUUUAUAUUAUUUUCUCAGAGAUUGUCAGUUGGAUAGGCUCUCGGCAAGGUUGUUGUAUAUCUUACCUAUUGUAUGAAUAUCUUUGUCUGACUCAGAUAGGAUUUAUCUUUUUUUAUGUAGAUUUCAUUAAGAAUGAUAAAAAAGAGAGAGGCUUUCCAUAAAACUGUAAUAUGAAAUGUUAUAUUAGAUUGUAAAUAAAACGUACACAU
This is a long non-coding RNA of Oncorhynchus keta (chum salmon), 855 nucleotides long. RefSeq lists it as uncharacterized. The transcript is spliced from 5 exons. The record is from RefSeq and is a predicted model, not a curated record. Lineage: Eukaryota; Metazoa; Chordata; Actinopteri; Salmoniformes; Salmonidae.